RNAcentral lists this non-coding RNA (45 nucleotides) under Schistosoma mansoni. The record is from RNAcentral. Lineage: Eukaryota; Metazoa; Platyhelminthes; Trematoda; Strigeidida; Schistosomatidae.
AUCCAGCUGACAAGUCCCACAUAGGACGAGAUGCGAGUCCUGGAU